GGCUUAGAGUUUGAUCAUGGCUCAGGAUGAACGCUGGCGGCGUGCCUAACACAUGCAAGUCGAACGGAGAUUAACGCUGAAUUGAUAAUUAGCUUGCUAAGAGGAUUUUCUUGUUAAUCUUAGUGGCGGACGGGUGAGUAACACGUGAGCAACCUGCCUUUCAGAGGGGGAUAACGGCUGGAAACGGUCGCUAAUACCGCAUGAUAUAUUCGGAUGGCAUCGUCUGAAUAUCAAAGGAGCAAUCCGCUGAAAGAUGGGCUCGCGUCUGAUUAGAUAGUUGGUGAGGUAACGGCUCACCAAGUCGACGAUCAGUAGCCGGACUGAGAGGUUGAACGGCCACAUUGGGACUGAGAUACGGCCCAGACUCCUACGGGAGGCAGCAGUGGGGAAUAUUGCACAAUGGGGGAAACCCUGAUGCAGCAACGCCGCGUGAAGGAAGACGGUUUUCGGAUUGUAAACUUCUUUUCUUAGUGAAGAAGAAAGUGACGGUAGCUAAGGAAUAAGCAUCGGCUAACUACGUGCCAGCAGCCGCGGUAAUACGUAGGAUGCAAGCGUUAUCCGGAUUUACUGGGUGUAAAGGGAGCGCAGGCGGGACUGCAAGUUGGAUGUGAAAUGCCGGGGCUCAACCCCGGAGCUGCAUCCAAAACUGUAGUUCUUGAGUGGAGUAGAGGCAAGCGGAAUUCCGAGUGUAGCGGUGAAAUGCGUAGAUAUUCGGAGGAACACCAGUGGCGAAAGCGGGCCUGCUGGACAUUAACUGACGCUGAGGCGCGAAAGCGUGGGGAGCAAACAGGAUUAGAUACCCUGGUAGUCCACGCCGUAACGAUGGAUACUAGUGUGGGGGGGUAUUGACCCCUUCCGUGCCGCAGUUACACAU
Molecule: ribosomal RNA, 874 nt
Filed under: uncultured organism
Description: bacterial SSU rRNA
Rfam family: Bacterial small subunit ribosomal RNA
Source: RNAcentral